UGCCUGACCUCUGAAGUUCCAGUUACAUGAGAUCAUUGGCCAGGGUGAGAGGAGAUUAGAUAUGUUUCAUACAGUUGCAGGUCCCUCUAGUUGUGGGAUGUGGGACGCCGCCUCAACGUGGCCUGACGAGCCAUGCCAUGUCCGCACCCAGGAUCCGAACCCUGGGCCGCCACAGCGGAGUGCGCGAACUUAACCACUCGGCCAUGGAGCUGGCCCCCAAAAAUAGAAUAGUAUGGAUAACAACCUCUGACGAUGCCCUAGAAAGAUUUUCAAGUGGCCUUUGCAGAUGUUUCUGGAAGAUUUUUCAACUUUGGGACAGCUGGACUGAAGGAGUUGAUGAGAGACAUCUUCGAAAAGUUCAUAACCAGAAGCCUGCCCUCAAGUGGAUUUGGGAACAUUAUUUGCAUUUUUCAAGCUGAGACUUUAGUUUAAAAUGCGUCCACGUAUGGUGUGUCUCCACUGGCCCAGCAGAAGUCAAUGCGAGCUCUGAAGAAACUCACCUUAAGCGUAGGCCUCAAAGAAUUACCAUGUCAAGAAACAUGAACACACUUGCAAGAUUAAAAAAUGUGAGGAAAUAAGACACUGUUAGAAAGUUAGCAGAAAUAACAAAGAUAUUCAAAUUACUGGGUAAAUACAUAAAACAAUUAU
RNAcentral lists this long non-coding RNA (648 nucleotides) under Equus caballus (horse). RNAcentral describes it as "lncRNA (ENSECAG00000044203.1)". The record is from RNAcentral. Lineage: Eukaryota; Metazoa; Chordata; Mammalia; Perissodactyla; Equidae.